Molecule: ribosomal RNA, 259 nt
Filed under: uncultured bacterium
Lineage: Bacteria
Description: partial 16S ribosomal RNA
Rfam family: Bacterial small subunit ribosomal RNA
Source: RNAcentral
UACGGGGGGGGGCAAGCGUUGUUCGGAAUUACUGGGCGUAAAGGGUUCGUAGGUGGCCAAUUAAGUCAGACGUGAAAUCCCUCAGCUUAACUGGGGAACUGCGUCUGAGACUGGAUCGGAGCUUGAGGUGCAGGAGGAGGAACGCGGAAUUCCAGGUGUAGCGGUGAAAUGCGUAGAUAUCUGGAGGAACACCGGUGGCGAAGGCGGCGUUCUGGACUGCAACUGACACUGAGGAACGAAAGCCAGGGGAGCAAACGGG